GACGAACGCUGGCGGCGUGCUUAACACAUGCAAGUCGAACGGAAAGGCCCUGCUUUUGUUGGGUUCUCGAGUGGCGAACGGGUGAGUAACACGUGAGUAACCUGCCCUUGACUUUGGGAUAACUUCAGGAAACUCCGGCUAAUACCCGAUAGAAUCUCUUGCUGCAUAGUGGGGGUUGGAAAAUUUCGGCUGUUGGGGAUGGACUCGCGGCUUAUCAGCUUGUUUGUCGGGUAGUUGAUUACCAAGGCUUUGACGGGUAGCCGGCCUGAGAGGGUUACCGGCCACAUUGGGACUGCGAUAGGCACCAGAAUCCUACCGGAGGCAGUAGUCGGGAACAUUGCGGAAUGGGCGGAAGCGUGAUGCAGCAACGCCGCGUGCGGGAUGACGGGUUUCGGGGUGUAAACCGAUUUCGACUGUGACGAAGCGUGAGUGACGGUAAUGGGUAAAGAAGCACCGGCUAACUACGUG
RNAcentral lists this ribosomal RNA (468 nucleotides) under uncultured bacterium. Its description in RNAcentral is "partial 16S ribosomal RNA". It matches the Rfam family "Bacterial small subunit ribosomal RNA", at positions 28 to 507 of the family's 1533-position model. The record is from RNAcentral.